UACGGGCAAAAGAGAGAGAGAGAAGAGCGCGAGAGGAAACGAGAGGCGAGGGAGCGAGAGAAAGCGAGGAAGCGAGAGAGAGCGAGAAACAGAGAUAGCGAGAGGGGCUGUGCGGGAGAGAGAAGUGUGGUAGGAUUUAAUUUAGGUUAGCUUUAGUAAAAAGUAAAAAAGGGGUGAGGUUAGAAGCUACUGUGCUAGUGGGUUA
RNAcentral lists this long non-coding RNA (205 nucleotides) under Ananas comosus (pineapple). Its description in RNAcentral is "long non-coding RNA (ACOM_LNC017115)". Lineage: Eukaryota; Viridiplantae; Streptophyta; Magnoliopsida; Poales; Bromeliaceae. The record is from RNAcentral.